Molecule: non-coding RNA, 87 nt
Organism: Gossypium hirsutum (cotton)
Lineage: Eukaryota; Viridiplantae; Streptophyta; Magnoliopsida; Malvales; Malvaceae
Source: Rfam
CCUGAGGAAACGCUUUGUCUACAUCAACAGAAAACGUUUCCCUGAGGAUGUGAUUUGUGCUGAUGUGGACAAAGCGCUUCCUCAGGG